AUCUUUGGCUCUGCCGAGCUUCAGACUUCCCUCCACCCCUUCAGUAAGUAUCGUACAUUUUCUUACAUCACGUAUUUUGUUUGUUUAUCUGGUUAACCAUAUGCUGUUAGAGUUAAUCUAACCCUGCCAGUGUCUUUAAGGUUUUACAGUUAUCUCUUAUAUACAGCAAAUAUUUACUCCAAGUUUCAUCAAACUUCUGUUCGUCCUGAUCUCGUAUUCUCCCUGAUAAUCUAGCCAGUUCUGCGUAAUUCAUCAUUUUAACCUGCCAAUCCAUAACAGUUGGUAUUACAUCUGUUUUCCAAUUCUGAGCCAACAUAGUUCUUGCAGCCGUCGUGACAUACAGAAAGAGGGUUUUAUCUUUCUUUUUAAUUUCCUUCCCUACCAAUCCCAAUAGAAAGGCUUCGGGUUUUUUGGAAAGGUAUACUUAAAAACUUUUUAAAGUUCAUUGUAAAUUGAUUCCCAAAAGCCCUUCACUUUACCACAAUUCCACUAUGUGUGGUAGAGGUCUCCUUCCGCCUCUCCACAUUUCCAACAUUUCUUAUUUUUCAUUCUGUACAUCUUUGCCACUUUUACCGGCGUAAGAUGCCACCUAUAUAUCAUUUUCCAUAUAUUCUCUUGCAAUGCCGUACAGGCCAUAAAUUUCAAAUUUACAUUCCACAAUUCAUGCCAUGCUUCUAAUUCAAUGUUAUGCCCAAAAUCAAUGGCCCACUUAAUCAUGGCUUCUUUUACCUCCUCAUCUUUAGUAUACCAGUUCAAUAAUAAAUCAUACAUUUUUGACAGUGGUUUAUUUUUACCUUCUAUAAUGUCUAUAUGAAAUUUUGAUUUCUUGUCCUCAAAUCCCAACCUCUUUUUAUCUUCUUUUAGUAUCUCACUAACUUGGUGGUACUGUAACCACACUGUCAGUAAAUUCUCUACUUCUUCAUACACCUUAAGCUUUAUACCUUGAUCAGUUUUUCUAAUAAGCUCUUCAUAUGUGGCUCUCUUUCCUUCCAUGUUGACUUUCUUAAUAAUUAAUACAUCUGUUGGUGAUAUCCACCAAGGUGUUUUCCUUUCUAACAGAUUUUUAUUUCUUUCCCAUACUUCAUAUAAAGGUCCUCUAAUUAUAUGAUUUAAAAAAAACCCUGUGGACUUUCACUUUAUCAUACCACAGGUACAAGUGCCACCCGUACCUGUUGUCAUAUCCUUCUAAAUCUAGAAGGUCCAUAUUUUCUAAUUUUAUCCAUUCUCUUAUCCAAAUUAGGCACGCUGCUUCAUAGUAUAUACCCAUGUCUGGCAGGGCGAAGCCACCUCUUUCUUUUUUGUCAACCAGAAUCUUCAUUUUUAUUCUUGGCCUCUUUCCCUGCCAGACAAAUCUUGCCAAUGUUUUCUGCCACUCUUUAAAUUGUUUUGAUCCUUUAAUCACUGGAAUUGUUUGGAACAAGAAUAAAAUUCCAGGUAAAACAUUUAUUUUAAUCACUGAUAUUCUCCCUAAAAAAGAUAGUCUCAGUCUGUCCCAUAUUUCUAGAUCUUUCUUAAUAUCUCUCCAAGUGAUUUCAUAGUUGUCUUUAUACAGGUUUAUGUUUUUGCCAUCAACCAUAUUCCUAGAUAUUUGACUUUCUUGACCACUAUAAUACCACUCUCUUGUUGCAGUUCUUCUAUCUCUUCUUUACUUAUGUUUUUGACUAACAUUUUAGUUUUGUUCUUAUUGAGUUUGAACCCUGCUACUUUGCUGAAUUCUUCUAUUAUUUGUAAAGCUUCUUGUAUACUUCUCUUUGGAUCUUCUAGGGUUAAGACUAUAUCGUCCGCAAAUGCUUUUAUUUUAAAUUCUUUGUAUCCAACCUUGAUACCUUUCACCUUUGAGGCUUCUCUCAAUGUCUUAUUAAGAACCUCCAGUACAGAUAUAAACAACAGGGGUGAUAGAGGACCCCCCUGUCUGGUCCCCUUAGAGAUAUCAAAAGUUUCUGAUACGUUGUUGUUUAUGAUGAGUUUGGCUGUUUGAUUUUGAUAUAUGGCUUCUAUACCCUUUAUAAACCCUUCUCCAAUUCCCAUUGUUUUAAAAUUCUCUUUCAUAAAUCUCCAGGAGACAUUAUCAAACGCUUUCUCCGCGUCAAUGAAAAUCAAAGCCGCUUGUUUAUCAAUUCUACUUUCUAAAUAUUCAAUAAUAUCUACUACAAUACCUGAUGAUACCUUCAGGCACAAACAUUCCAUGUAGUUUUGCCCCAGUAAGGUCCCAGUUAAGAAUGUCCUACUGGAUAUUUGUAGCAUCGCUGCCCUUAUGAUACCAUCACACAUCACCCCAAUCUCUGAGAGGUGAGAGAUUCCAGGGGUUCCAGGUGCUUACCUAGGGUUCAGUUUCCUUAGCAUGCGGGACAGCAGAGACUGUGGUGUCUUUAGGAUACAGUCGUAUCUUGGAAGCCAAACAGAAUCUGUUCCAAAAGUCCAUUUGACUUCCAAAAUGUUCAGAAAUCAAGGUGCAGUUCCGUUUGGCUAGAGGAAGCUCCUGCAGCCAAUUGGAAGUUGUGCUGGGCGUUCGGGUUCCAAAGAACAUUUGCAAACCGGAACACUCUCUUCCAGGUUUGCAGCGUUCGGGAGCCAAAAUGUUCAACUCGCAAGGCGAUCGUCAACCAAGGUAUGACUGUAUAUUGUUUAUUGACACAUAUAUACAACCUGAGCCUAUAAUGGAGGGGCUCACAGCAUCAGCACCACAAAAGUCCUCGUUAGUAUAGUGGUAAGUAUCCCCGCGUGUCACGUGGGAGACCGGGGUUUGAUUCCCUGAUGGAGAGAAGCGCACAUUUGUGUAAUCUCACUGUAUACAAGUUGUACAAGUGACAAUAAAGUAUUUCAAAAGGGUCUUGCUUCUCCCAUAGACACAGCCUUGGAAUCUUGUUGCUUUCUCUCUAGCUGCUUCCUGCUUCCAGCUCACACAACACCUCUCUCCUUUUGUGUUUCUCACCACCAGCCAGGUGAGGGUCCACCCAUUUGCCCUCUGGCACAGAGCAACCUCUUUUGUUAUACUAAGUACUUAGGGCCAUUAAUUCACCAAGAAAGAUGCCCAGCUAUUUCAGUAAUGGAAUGCUCCAUGAGAUUGCUGGAGCCAGGACCUCAGAAAUUAGAAGGGACUCAGGCAACAUACAGAUCAGCCUGCCAAACUCACAACAACCAGCCCCGUAAGGGGCAUCUGCAUAUUCCUGCAUUGCAGUGGGUUGGACUAGAUGAUUAUCAGGGUCCCUUCUGUGGGAUGAAAGCACCCAAGUAAAUGGUUAAUGCUCACAAGAGCUCUGUGAUGUUUCCCAUCUGAGGCAGUUAUUACAGUUGGUACAUCAGUGGCAGUUAUGAUCAGUCUUAACAGUUAGAGCAGCAGCUAUGUUUCGUUGUGCUGCUGCUGUCUGCCUCAGAGUACUAGUCUGUAGCAGUUUUGUCUUAGGUACGAAUCUAUGUAAGAUGUAUUAGCAACGUAAGGUAAAGGACCCCUGGAUGGUUAAGUCCAGUCGAAUUUGACUAUGGGGUGUGGCACUCAUCUCCACUUUCAGGCCGAGGGAACCAGCGUUUGUCCACAGACAGCUUUCUGGGUCAUGUGGCCAGCAUGACUAAACAGCUUCUUGCAGGACACUGUGACAGAAGCCAAAGUGCAUAGAAACAUCAUUUACCUUCCUCCCAGUGGCGUAGCGUGGGGGGUGCAGGGGGGCCAGCCACACCGGGCGCAACAUCUGGGGGGGGGCGCGCUCGCACUAGCAGCUCUCUGCCCCUACCUGGCUCACUCAGGGUUAGGGGGCGCAAAUUACUUGCCUUGCCCCGGGUGCUGACAACCCAUGCUACGCCACUGCUUCCUCCCACAGCAGUACCUAUUUAUCUACUUGCACAGCUAUGCUUUCCAACUGCUAGGUUGGCAGGAGGUUGGGACAGUAACACCAACCUGAAUUGUAUAUUUUUACUUGCAAAUCGCAAGCACACUAAGUAAAAGUCACAUUAUUUUAACUUUAAAAGAGAGUGAAUUACAUUGUUCUUAUAGAGGUAAAAGGGAACUAAUUAAAGAGUUAAAUGACUAGGGCUCUCUUCCACAUAACUCUUUAAAUGGAAACUAGAGUUUAAUUCCCACACCUUCCAAAUCUACAGUUCUAUAAUUCUAUAACAUCUUCAUAACAUGACUUUCCAGGAAAGGGGCCUCCUUAAAUAUUAGAAACAUUUGUGAAAAUUCUGGGGACAGUAGUUGUGGAGUCUGUGAGGCGUGUCUUUGGCAGGGGGAGGAGAAAUGGGCAUCUUCGAUAAGGGUUUGGGGUUCUUGAGGAAACUGGACUGUUUGAUUCACUUUUACAGCCAUAAGAAAUGGGCCUGACUGCCCAUUAAAAACAGCUCCCUCCCCAUUUGUUAUUCCCAGCAAUUGGAAUUCAGUGGUGCUGUGGCUCUCAUACUGGAGGGUAUACUGUAUAGCCAUCGUGAUAUAGCCCUUGAUAUCUUUCUUGACAUCAUUAAUACCCCCCAUUAACUUUCGUAAUCCCCUUUUAAAGCCCUAGCUAGCAUGGCCAACGGUCAGAGGUAAUGAUAUUUGCAGUCCAACAUCAUUGUGCACAGGUUGUUGUCUACACUUUUUACCUACUAAUAGUAAACUUGCUCUCUGAGUGUGGAUGCAUAUGUAGCCAUCUUUACACAAGAGCAGGUAUCAAUAGGGAUGGGAAAACCACAAGGCUUGCCGAAGUACAUAUGUAUGUAUGUAUGUAUGUAUGGGUGCUAAAGGGGUAACAACAGCUCAAUGAGCAUGGAAUGCUGACUGAUGUAAAGGGGGAAACUAAAAAACUAGAGGGAAGGUAAUGGAUUGGAGUAUUCUGAUAAGGGUGCAUGGUUGGCAGGCCUUCCUCACUGCAGCACUGGGCAGGAUUCACCUAAUCUACUCCAUAAAUUAAAGCCUGCUCAAGAACUUCCUCCUGAACAAAUGGGGUUUCCCCUCCUCUCCCCCCCACCCCAUUACACAAUUGGCCCUGUGUGGCUCAGGGAAACCUCCCCCGCGCCAGCACAAUGUACAGAGGAAGGAGAGAGAUAAUCAUUCUGCCUGGCAAGAUUAAAUGCUUGCACAAACAAGGGGAUGUUGAAUUCCUUCCCUGGUUUGAAGAUCUCACUUAAUUCUGCUUUAAAAAACCACAGAGUCUAGGAGAGGAGGUACAAAUGCUGCUGUUUUGAGAUGACCUAAGAGAUUGUGGGUGGAGGGGAGAGAGACAUUCGAGGAGCUAUGCUUGCAAGUAACAUAAUGGCUCUUUCUCAUCCUUUGUGGUUUGUGCCUGCUGAUUACUUAAUACACCUUAAUCAGAGUCUUGAGACUGAAGGAACUGGGGCUUUUAACAUCUUGGCAUGUCUGACAAUUCCACUUAUUCCUGCUGGCCUUUGAAAGGCCUUCUUUCUACAUACAAACACUAAAAGCCUGCUUUUACUCCCUCUUUCCAAAUUGCUUUAAAUUGUUGAUGGUGUUAUGAGUUUUUUGGGGGGAGGGAAGGCUGAAUGCCUGGGCUUGAUUGGGGCUCUCCCUCCUGCUUUUCUAACUUACCUGGGGUGUGUUGUGCUAUAUCCUGACCCAAAUCUCAAGGCCCCAGAAAGCUAGUGCUUCUUCUCCAUCAGGAAGGUGGUCUUCUAUCUGUCCCUUGGAGGUGUCUCUUUCGCAAGCUUUCACCUCCCUCCUCCCAUAAGAAUAUAACAAAAGGAGCCAAGGAUCAGCUUGAUCAGGCCACAGGAGGGGCAUCUAGUUCAGCCUCCUUUUCUGACAGUGGCUGACAAGCAGAAUUGGAGCUUCUUCCUCUUCUUCUUUGGCGAUCACUCGUAGCCGGGUCUUCCAUGAACAUGGUCUUAACAGUGAGUCCGUUAGUGACUGUGGAGGCCAAUUCUGGAUGCACACAUCCUUCCACCAUGGGGACAUAGGUUUCCAGGCAGCAGCUGAUUCAUGUGAGGGUUUGCCAAACGUGUCUUCUAGCUCCUUUAGCUAAUUUCUCCCUUUUGUCCUGAGUUCAAGAGUCUUCAAAGUCCAUGACACCUUUAGUAAAGGCUGUUCUCCAAUUGGAGCAUUUGCAGGCCAGUGUUUCCUAGUUGUCAGUGUUUAUACUACAUUUUUAAAGAUUUGCCUUGAGACAGUUUUUAAGCCUCUUUUGUUGACCACCAGCAUUUCCAUUUUUAAGUUCGGAAUAGAGUAGUUGCUUUGGGAGGCGAUAAUCAGGCAUCCGAACAACAUGACCAGUUCAACGAAGUUGAUGUUGUAGAAUCAUUGCUUCAAUAGUGGUGAUCUUUGCUUCUUCCAGUACACUGGUAUUAGUUCACCUGUCUUUCCAAGUGUAAAAUUUUUGGGAGACAUCAUUGAUGGAAUCUUUCAAGGAGCUGGAGAUGGUGUUUAUUAGUGGUCCAUGUUUCACACGCAUACAGUAAGGUUGGUAGUACAAUAGCUUUGUAAACAAGCAUUUUGGUUUCCCUGUGAAUGUCCCAGUCCUCAAACACUCUGCACUUUAAUAGGAGAAAGCUGCACUCGCAGAGCUCAGGCGAUGCUGGAUUUUGGCAUCUAUGUCAGCCCUUGUGGAAAGAUAACUGCCCAGGUACAAGUGAUUGGCACUUUUCAAUGUAACACCAUUGAGUUGGAUUUGUGGCACUGCAGAGGGGUUGUUUUGUGUUUGUUGGUGCGGCACUUUGAUUUUUUUGGAUGUUGAGUGAUAGCCCAUGCUUUUCAUAAGCUUCUGCAAAGAUAUUUAGGAUAGUUUGGAGGUCAUCCACUGAGUGUGCACACACUAUGUUGUCAUCAGCAUACUGAAGCUCUAUGAUGGAAGUUAUGGUAACCUUACUCUUUGCUUUCAGCCUACUCAGAUUAAAGAGCUUUCUAUCUGUUUGAUAUAUGAUUUCUACUCUGGUGGAGAGUUUCCCUUCGACAAAGUGUAGGAUCAUGGCAAUGAAAAUAAUAAAUCUAUUUUAACACCUGUUGGAGCACAACAGCACCAGCCCUCUCCCCACCUGCAGUUGUCUUGAACAGGUGUUAUUCAGAGGUAUUUUGCUGCUUCUGACCCAAGAGGGGGGAACCUCUCUCCUGGGCUUUGUCUGACUUUCUGCCCCCCACCUCUCCUUCCCAGGAAGCCAAGAGCAGCCCUCAGUGACACCUGAAAUGUAC
RNAcentral lists this transfer RNA (7105 nucleotides) under Podarcis lilfordi (Lilford's wall lizard). The stretch from base 2691 to 2762 matches the Rfam family "tRNA". Lineage: Eukaryota; Metazoa; Chordata; Lepidosauria; Squamata; Lacertidae. The record is from RNAcentral.